Long non-coding RNA from Alosa sapidissima (American shad), 404 nucleotides. RefSeq lists it as uncharacterized. The transcript has 4 exons. NCBI's taxonomy places the organism in Eukaryota, Metazoa, Chordata, Actinopteri, Clupeiformes, Clupeidae. The record is from RefSeq and is a predicted model, not a curated record.
CAGACCAGAGAGGUUGUUGACUUGGAAAAGACCGCAACUUGUCUCUCUCCUCGUGGCGGCAAGACGAUAAAGUCGAGGUCCUAGAAGUAUUCAAGAAACACGAAGAGGUUCGUCUGCAGAAGAAGCUUCCAUACCAGUAAACCGCUGCCUAAGGAUUGCAACCAUAUCUGAAGGACCAGGUGAUGACGCACCCUCAACCUGGCAGGCAGGACUGCCUGCUCUUCUGACUGGAGCCUAGAGCAAGAUGAAAGGGACAUCAGCCCUGCUGCUCUGGAAGGGAGCGUGGAGGCCUCUGAGAUCACUGUGAACCUCCAGGACUGACGGCGCGGCAGUUCCCACACAGACACACGCGCGCACACACACACACACGCGCACACACACACACACACACACACACACGCACA